This 1429-nucleotide long non-coding RNA is filed under the name Coturnix japonica (Japanese quail). RNAcentral's name for it is "lncRNA (ENSCJPG00005001022.1)". Lineage: Eukaryota; Metazoa; Chordata; Aves; Galliformes; Phasianidae. The record is from RNAcentral.
AUGGGAUUUCGGGUCAUUUUAAUGGGAUUUUGGUUCAUUUAUAUGGAAUUUGGGGUCAUUUUAUGGGAUUUCAGGUUAUUUUUGUGGGAUUUGGGGCCAUUUUUAUGGUAUUCGGGCUCAUUUAUGUGGGAUUUUGGGUCAUUUGGGGUAUCCCAUAAAAUUAUGAGAUUUGGGGUCAUUUAUAUGGGGUUUGGGUUAUUUAAUGGGAUUUUGGUUCAUUUGUAUGGGAUUUCAAGUCAUUUUAUGAGAUAUCGGGUCACUUCUAUGGGAUUUUGGGUCAUUUUGUGGGAUUUCAUGUCAUUUUUGGGUCAUUUUAAUGGGAUUUGGGCUCAUUUCUAUUGGAUUUGGGGGGAAUUUUGGGUCUUUUCUGUUAGGAUUUGGGGUCAUCUUAAUGGGAUUUCGGCUCAUUUUAUGGUAUUUUGGGGGUAAUUUUUGGUGAUUUUAUUCAAUUUUGGGCCCAAUUCUUGUGAUUUUGGUUAAUUUUGGGUGUAAUUUGGCCUUAGAACGAGCUGACGGCGGAGGAGAAGCGCCGCGCUCACCAGAAGGAGCUGGCGACGCAGCUGAACGAGGAGGCGCGACGGCGGCUGACGGAGCAGAAGGGCGAGCAGCAGAUACAGAAGUAACCAAAAAUGGGCCGUUUUGGGGCUUUUUGGGCGGAUUUGGGGCUUUUUGGAGUGGAUUUUGGGGUCAUUUUGAGGUCUUUCAGGGGAGGUUGGGGUCACUUUGGGUGGAUUUGGGGCUUUUUGGGGGAUUUUGGGGUGGAUUUGGGGUUUUUUUGAGGGGGGGAUUUGGGUCAUUUUGGGGGGAUUUGGGGUCAUUUAGGGGGGAUUUGGGGUCAUUUUGGGAUCAGAAAGGGGGAUUUUAGGGUCAGAAAGGGGGGUUUUGGGUCCUUUUGGGUCAGAAAGGGGGAUUUUUGGGUGGAUUUGGGAUCUAGGGUUGGAUUUUGGGGUCAGAAAGGGAGAUUUUGGGGUCAGAUAGGGGGAUCCUUUUGGGGUCAUUUUUGUGUGGCUUUUGGGGCAUUUUGGGUCAUUUUAGGGGGAUUUGGGGUUUUUGGGGCAUAUUUGGGGCUUUUUGGGGUGGAAUUUGGGGUCUUUCAGGGUUUGGGGUCAGAAAGUGGGGUUUUGGGGAGGAAUUUGGGGUCAUUUUGGGGGCUAUUUGGGUGGAUUUGGGGUUAUUUUGAGGGGGGGAUUUGGGUCAUUUUGGCGGGAUUUGGGUCAUUUUGGGGGGAUUUGGGGCUUUUUGGGCAGAUUUGGGGCUUUUUAGGGUCUUUUGGGGAGAAUUUGGGGUCAUUUUGAGAUAUUUAGGGCAUUUUUGGGAUGGAUUUGGAGUGGUUUGAUGGGAUUUGGGGUCAUUUUUGGGUGGUUUGGGGUUCAUUUUAGGGUGGAUUUGGGGCUUUUUGGGCCGAUUUGGGGCUUUUUGGAGUAGAUUU